UACUAACGAAGCAGAGAUGCAUUAGGUGCCCUUCGGGAAAGUAGAGACAGGUGGUGCAUGGUUGUCGUCAGCUCGUGUCGUGAGAUGUUGGGUUAAGUCCCGCAACGAGCGCAACCCUUGCCUUUAGUUGCCAGCAUUAAGUUGGGCACUCUAGAGGGACUGCCAGGGAUAACCUGGAGGAAGGCCGUCGAAGGUGGGACCGAUAACUGGGGUGAAGUCGUAACAAGGUACC
RNAcentral lists this ribosomal RNA (232 nucleotides) under uncultured bacterium. RNAcentral describes it as "partial 16S ribosomal RNA". The stretch from base 1 to 205 matches the Rfam family "Bacterial small subunit ribosomal RNA", at positions 990 to 1204 of the family's 1533-position model. The record is from RNAcentral.